UAAAUUCUGAUUAAAUAGGUUGGUAAGUGAAAUUAGUAGGAUAAAUUCUGAUUAAAUAGGUUGGUAAGUGAAAUUAGUAGGAUAAAUUCUGAUUAAAUAGGUUGGUAAGUGAAAUUAGUAGGAUAAAUUCUGAUUAAAUAGGUUGGUAAGUGAAAUUAGUAGGAUAAAUUCUGAUUAAAUAGGUUGGUAAGUGAAAUUAGUAGGAUAAAUUCUGAUUAAAUAGGUUGGUAAGUGAAAUUAGUAGGAUAAAUUCUGAUUAAAUAGGUUGGUAAGUGAAAUUAGUAGGAUAAAGUCUGAUUAAAUAGGUUGGUAAGUGAAAUUAGUAGGAUAAAUUCUGAUUAAAUAGGUUGGUAAGUGAAAUUAGUAGGAUAAAUUCUGAUUAAAUAGGUUGGUAAGUGAAAUUAGUAGGAUAAAUUCUGAUUAAAUAGGUUGGUAAGUGAAAUUAGUAGGAUAAAUUCUGAUUAAAUAGGUUGGUAAGUGAAAUUAGUAGGAUAAAUUCUGAUUAAAUAGGUUGGUAAGUGAAAUUAGUAGGAUAAAUUCUGAUUAAAUAGGUUGGUAAGUGAAAUUAGUAGGAUAAAUUCUGAUUAAAUAGGUUGGUAAGUGAAAUUAGUAGGAUAAAUUCUGAUUAAAUAGGUUGGUAAGUGAAAAACUUUAGUUUUAAAACACCUUUAAAUUUGCAAUUUAAUAUCAUAUUUGAAUAUAAAGUUAAUUGAUUAAAAAGAAAAAAAUUCUUAUAAAUAAAUUUACAAUUUAUCGCUUAAUUUCAGCCAUUUAAUCAAAAUAAUUAUUUUUUUUUAAAAAAAAUAUAGAUAAAAAAAAUAAAGUUUAUAUUUAUUUUAAAUUUGAUAAAAAAAAUUCAUAAUAAUCGAAACAAUGGUUAUUUUCUACUAAUCAUAAAAAUAUUGGUACUUUAUAUUUUAUUUUUGGAAUUUGAUCAGGAUUAAUUGGAACUUCUUUAAGAAUAUUAAUUCGUUUAGAAUUAAGACACCCAGGAGCUUUAAUUGGGAAUGAUCAAAUUUAUAAUGUAAUUGUUACUGCUCAUGCUUUUGUAAUAAUUUUUUUUAUAGUAAUACCUGUGAUAAUUGGUGGGUUUGGAAAUUGAUUAGUUCCUUUAAUAUUAGGAGCUCCUGAUAUAGCUUUUCCUCGGAUAAAUAAUAUAAGAUUUUGAUUAUUACCUCCUUCAAUUACUUUACUUUUAUUAAGAAGUUUAGUGGAAAAUGGGGCGGGAACUGGUUGAACUGUUUAUCCUCCAUUAUCAGCUAAUGUUUCUCAUGCUGGGGCUUCAGUUGAUUUAGCAAUUUUUUCUUUACAUUUAGCAGGGAUUAGUUCAAUUUUAGGAGCUGUAAAUUUUUUAACAACAAUUAUUAAUAUACGACCAGUAGGAAUAUCAUUUGAUCGUGUUCCAUUAUUUGUUUGAUCAGUAUUUAUUACAGCUAUUUUAUUAUUAUUAUCUUUACCAGUAUUAGCGGGAGCAAUUACUAUAUUGUUAACGGAUCGAAAUAUUAAUACUUCUUUUUUUGACCCGGCAGGAGGAGGUGAUCCUAUUUUAUACCAACAUUUAUUUUGAUUUUUUGGUCACCCAGAAGUUUAUAUUUUAAUUUUACCAGGAUUUGGGAUUGUUUCUCAUAUUAUUUGUCAAGAAAGAGGAAAAAAAGAAGCUUUUGGAGUUUUAGGUAUAAUAUAUGCUAUUGCUGCAAUUGGUUUAUUAGGAUUUAUUGUUUGAGCUCAUCAUAUAUUUACUGUUGGGUUAGAUGUAGACACUCGAGCUUAUUUUACUUCAGCUACUAUAAUUAUUGCUGUUCCUACAGGGAUUAAAAUUUUUAGUUGAAUAGCAACAAUAUAUGGAACUCAAUUAAACCUUACUCCUGCUUUGUUAUGAUCUUUAGGGUUUGUAUUUUUAUUUACUGUAGGAGGAUUAACAGGUAUUGUUUUAGCUAAUUCUUCUUUAGAUAUUGUUUUACAUGAUACAUAUUAUGUAGUAGCUCAUUUUCAUUAUGUUUUAUCAAUAGGGGCUGUAUUUGCUAUUAUAGGAGGGUUUGUUCAUUGAUAUCCAUUAUUUACGGGUUUAUCAAUAGAUACAAUGUUAUUAAAAGCUCAAUUUUAUAUUAUAUUUUUGGGAGUAAACUUAACUUUUUUUCCUCAACAUUUUUUAGGUUUAUCAGGAAUACCUCGACGAUAUUCAGAUUAUCCUGAUUCUUAUAUUACAUGAAAUAUAAUUUCUUCUUUAGGAUCUUUAAUUUCAUUUUUAGGAACUUUAAUAUUUUUAUUUAUUAUAUGAAAAAGUUUAGUUUCUAAUCAAUCUGUAUUGUAUUCAGAAAAUUUAAAUUCUUCAAUUGAAUGGUAUCAAAAUCUUCCUCCUUCUGAACAUAGUUUCAUACAAAUACCUUUAUUAAUUAAAUAAAAAAAGUUUUUAUAAAUAAAAAUUUAAUAUGGCAGAUAAAUGCAAUAGAUUUAAAUUCUAUCAAUAAAGUAUAACUUUUAUUAAAAUUAUUAAUGGCAACUUGAGGAAGUAUAUUUUUAUUAGAUAGAAGUUCUCCUGUAAUAGAACAAUUAAAUUUUUUUCAUGAUCAUACUUUAUUAGUAUUAAUAAUUAUUACAGUUUUAAUUGGUAAUUCUAUAUUAUCUUUAUUUUUUAAUAAAUUUUCUAAUCGAUUUUUAUUAAUAGAUCAAUUUAUUGAAAUUUUUUGAACAAUUAUACCAGUUUUAGUUUUAUUUGCAGUAGCUUUACCUUCUAUACGAUUAUUAUAUUUAUUAGAUGAUCCUUACAAAUCUUCAAUUAGUGUAAAAGUUAUUGGGCAUCAAUGAUAUUGAAGAUAUGAAUAUCCUGAUUUCAAUAAUUUAGAAUUUGAUUCUUAUAUAAUUCCUACUAAUGAAUUAAAUAUAAAUGAAUUUCGUUUAUUAGAUGUAGAUAAUCGAUUAAUUUUACCUAGAUAUACAAAUAUUCGAUUUAUUGUUUCAGCAAUAGAUGUAUUACAUUCAUGAACAAUUCCAUCUCUAGGAAUUAAAGUAGAUGCUGUACCUGGUCGAUUAAAUCAAAUUAAUACUUAUAUAUAUCGAGUUGGUUUAUAUUUUGGUCAAUGUUCAGAAAUUUGUGGGGCAAAUCAUAGAUUUAUACCAAUUGUUUUAGAAUCUGUUUCUAUUAAAUAUUUUAUUGCUUGAAUAAAAAAUUUUAUAAAUUAAUUUUUUAUUAUAUUAAAUAAAAAAAUUAGUUAAAUUUAUAACAUUAGUUUGUCAAACUAAAAUUAUUUCUAUAAAUAUUUUUUAAUCCCACAAAUAGCUCCUUUAAAAUGAAUUAUUUUAUUUUUAAUUUUUUUAUUUACAUAUAUAUUUGUUAAUUUUAUGAAUUAUUAUUUAUUUAUACCAAAAAUUGUUGAUUUAAAAAAUUUUGAUAAAAAUUCUAAUAAAAAUUUAAAUAAAAAAUUUUUAAUAAAAUGAUAAUAAAUUUAUUUUCAGUUUUUGAUCCUUGUUCAUCAAUUUAUAAUUUUUCAUUAAAUUGAAUAAGAACAUUUUUGAUUUUUUUAUUAAUACCAAUAUCUUAUUGAAUUAUUCCUUCUCGAAUUUCUUUUAUAAUGCAAACAAUUUUUCAAGUUUUACAUAAAGAAUUUAAAAUUUUAUUAGGUGUUAAUUCAUUUAAUGGGUCAACAUUUUUAUUUAUUAAUUUAUUUGUGUUUAUUUUUUUUAAUAAUUUUUUAGGGUUAUUUCCUUAUAUUUUUACUUCUUCUAGACAUUUAGUAUUUACAUUGACUUUAAGAUUACCUUUAUGAAUUAGUUUUAUAUUAUAUGGGUGAAUUAAUAAUACUCAACAUAUAUUUUGUCAUUUAGUACCUCAAGGUACACCUAGAUUAUUAAUACCUUUUAUAGUAUGUAUUGAAACAAUUAGAAAUUUUAUUCGCCCAGGUACUUUAGCUGUCCGGUUAACUGCUAAUAUAAUUGCUGGACAUUUAUUAAUAACUUUAUUAGGAAAUACAGGAGUAUCAAUAAGAACUAUAUUUGUAAGAAUUUUAAUUAUUGUGCAAAUUUUAUUAUUAACUUUAGAAUCAGCAGUAUCAAUUAUUCAAGCUUAUGUAUUUGCUGUAUUAACAACUUUAUAUGCUAGAGAAAUUAAUUAAUUAAUAAUGAUAAACCAUUCUAAUCACCCAUUUCAUUUAGUAGAUUAUAGUCCUUGACCAUUAACAGGAGCUUUAGGAGCUUUUUGUUCAGUAACUGGAUUAGUUCAAUGAUUUCAUCAAUAUAGAUUAAAUUUAUUUAUAAUAGGAAAUAUUAUUACUUUAUUAACUAUAUAUCAAUGAUGACGUGAUAUUUCUCGAGAAGGGACCUUUCAAGGUUUACAUACAUAUGAUGUUGUUACUGGUCUUCGAUGGGGUAUAAUUUUAUUUAUUACAUCAGAAGUUUGUUUUUUUUUUUCAUUUUUUUGAACUUUUUUUCAUAGAAGAUUAUCUCCUACUAUUGAGUUAGGGGAAAUUUGGCCUCCUUUAAAUAUUCAAGCAUUUAAUCCUUUUCAGAUUCCUUUAUUAAAUACAGUAAUUUUAUUAACUUCUGGAAUUACAAUUACUUGAGCUCAUCAUAGAUUAAUAGAAAAUAAUAAACAACAAACUACUCAAGGUUUAUUUUUUACUAUUUUAUUAGGACUAUAUUUUUCUAUUCUUCAAGGUUAUGAAUAUAUAGAAGCAUCUUUUACAAUGUCUGAUUCAGUAUAUGGUUCAAUUUUUUUUUAAACUACAGGAUUUCAUGGAUUACAUGUAUUAAUUGGAACAAUAUUUUUAAUUAUUUGUUUAAUUCGUCAUUUAAAUAAUCAUUUCUCUAUAAAUCAUCAUUUUGGGUUUGAAGCUGCUGCAUGAUAUUGACAUUUUGUAGAUGUAGUAUGAUUAUUUGUUUAUAUUUCUAUUUAUUGAUGAGGUAAUUA
Long non-coding RNA from Culicoides brevitarsis, 4903 nucleotides. RefSeq lists it as uncharacterized. Lineage: Eukaryota; Metazoa; Arthropoda; Insecta; Diptera; Ceratopogonidae. The record is from RefSeq and is a predicted model, not a curated record. The transcript has 3 exons.